CUCUACUAAAAAAAAUACAAAAAAUUAGCCGGGCGUGGUGGUGCAUGCCUGUAAUCCCAGCUACUCGGGAGGCUGAGGCAGGAGAAUUGCUUGAACCUGGGAGGCGGAGGUUGCAGUGAGCCGAGAUAGUGCCAUUGCACUCCAGCCUGGACAACAAGAGCGAAACUCCGUCUCGAAAAAAAAACAAAAAAAAAUCCCAGAUGAGCAAUUCUUCUUGUCUUCAAUAUGGUUAGACAAUAAAUUUGGGUUUUUUCAGUAGGUGCAUCCAAACAUUAUCAGUUGAUUGAAAACUAAUUGAUGUUAACUGAACUCAUGAAUGGCUGAAUUAUACCCAGAUUAAUAACGUAUUAAAAAAAGGGAUGUGCUUUUCUGGUGAACAAACAGCUCUGGCCCAUCUUCAAAAGUUAUUUGCUAUUGCUUUAUUUAUUUAGCAGCGGUAUGCUUUCUUCAAGCAACUGUGUUUUGUUUUGUUUUUAUGGACAACCAAUACAUAACAGAAAACAAAGCUGCUCUGAUUGAAGACAGACAACAGACCUGCCCAGCCUCAAGUUCCCCUUUCUUUCCCUUCCCCAAGAUGUUCCCUAAGAGGGCUCCUCAGAAUCCCCAA
Molecule: long non-coding RNA, 607 nt
Filed under: Homo sapiens (human)
Lineage: Eukaryota; Metazoa; Chordata; Mammalia; Primates; Hominidae
Description: HSALNT0151313
Source: RNAcentral